CACGGAUAACAUACCGAAAGGUAUGCUAAUACGGGAUAAUAUAUUUGAGAGGCAUCUCUUAAAUAUCAAAGGUGAGCCAGUACAGGAUGGACCCGCGUCUGAUUAGCUAGUUGGUAAGGUAACGGCUUACCAAGGCAACGAUCAGUAGCCGACCUGAGAGGGUGAUCGGCCACAUUGGAACUGAGACACGGUCCAAACUCCUACGGGAGGCAGCAGUGGGGAAUAUUGCACAAUGGGCGAAAGCCUGAUGCAGCAACGCCGCGUGAGUGAUGAAGGCCUUCGGGCCGUAAAACUCUGUCCUCAAGGAAGAUAAUGACGGUACUUGAGGAGGAAGCCCCGGCUAACUACGUGCCAGCAGCCGCGGUAAUACGUAGGGGGCUAGCGUUAUCCGGAUUUACUGGGCGUAAAGGGUGCGUAGGCGGUCUUUCAAGUCAGGAGUGAAAGGCUACGGCUCAACCGUAGUAAGCUCUUGAAACUGGGAGACUUGAGUGCAGGAGAGGAGAGUGGAAUUCCUAGUGUAGCGGUGAAAUGCGUAGAUAUUAGGAGGAACACCAGUUGCGAAGGCGGCUCUCUGGACUGUAACUGACGCUGAGGCACGAAAGCGUGGGGAGCAAACAGGAUUAGAUACCCUGGUAGUCCACGCUGUAAACGAUGAGUACUAGGUGUCGGGGGUUACCCCCUUCGGUGCCGCAGCUAACG
RNAcentral lists this ribosomal RNA (699 nucleotides) under uncultured bacterium. RNAcentral's name for it is "bacterial SSU rRNA". It matches the Rfam family "Bacterial small subunit ribosomal RNA", at positions 138 to 857 of the family's 1533-position model. The record is from RNAcentral.